Molecule: ribosomal RNA, 532 nt
Filed under: uncultured bacterium
Lineage: Bacteria
Description: bacterial SSU rRNA
Rfam family: Bacterial small subunit ribosomal RNA
Source: RNAcentral
AGAGUUUGAUCAUGGCUCAGGAUGAACGCUAGCGGCAGGCUUAAUACAUGCAAGUUGAGGGGCAGCAUGAUAUACGUAAGUAUAUUGAUGGCGACCGGCGGACGGGUGAGUAAAAGGUAGGAGACCUACCUCAUACAGGGGGAUAGCAUAGAGAAAUCUGUGGUAAUACCCCAUGAGGUUAUAUGAAUAGAGGCAUAUAAUCAAAGUAUACGAGAGUAUGCGGUAUGAGAUGGGCCUACUGACCAUUAGCUAGUUGGUGAGGUAAGGGCUCACCAAGGCGAAGAUGGUUAGGGGUUUUGAGAGAGAGAUCCCCCACAUUGGAACUGAGAUACGGUCCAGACUCCUACGGGAGGCAGCAGUAGGGAAUAUUGGGCAAUGGGCGGAAGCCUGACCCAGCCAUGCCGCGUGAAGGAAGACGGCCUUAUGGGUUGUAAACUUCUUUACUAUACGAAUAGAGGUUAGUACGAGUUACUAAUAGGAAGGUAGUAUAGCAAAAAGCACCGGCUAACUCCGUGCCAGCAGCCGCGGUAAU